GCUGGCGGCAGGCCUAACACAUGCAAGUCGAGCGGUAGAGAGAAGCUUGCUUCUCUUGAGAGCGGCGGACGGGUGAGUAAUGCCUAGGAAUCUGCCUGGUAGUGGGGGAUAACGUUCGGAAACGGACGCUAAUACCGCAUACGUCCUACGGGAGAAAGCAGGGGACCUUCGGGCCUUGCGCUAUCAGAUGAGCCUAGGUCGGAUUAGCUAGUUGGUGGGGUAAUGGCUCACCAAGGCGACGAUCCGUAACUGGUCUGAGAGGAUGAUCAGUCACACUGGAACUGAGACACGGUCCAGACUCCUACGGGAGGCAGCAGUGGGGAAUAUUGGACAAUGGGCGAAAGCCUGAUCCAGCCAUGCCGCGUGUGUGAAGAAGGUCUUCGGAUUGUAAAGCACUUUAAGUUGGGAGGAAGGGCAGUAAAUUAAUACUUUGCUGUUUUGACGUUACCGACAGAAUAAGCACCGGCUAACUCUGUGCCAGCAGCCGCGGUAAUACGAAUCACUAGUGAAUUCGCGGCCGCCUGCAGGUCGACCAUAUGGGAGAGCUCCCA
RNAcentral lists this ribosomal RNA (551 nucleotides) under uncultured Gammaproteobacteria bacterium. RNAcentral describes it as "bacterial SSU rRNA". It matches the Rfam family "Bacterial small subunit ribosomal RNA", at positions 35 to 540 of the family's 1533-position model. Lineage: Bacteria; Pseudomonadati; Pseudomonadota; Gammaproteobacteria. The record is from RNAcentral.